Molecule: ribosomal RNA, 453 nt
Filed under: uncultured bacterium
Lineage: Bacteria
Description: bacterial SSU rRNA
Rfam family: Bacterial small subunit ribosomal RNA
Source: RNAcentral
UACGGAAGGCAGCAGUGGGGAAUAUUGCACAAUGGGCGAAAGCCUGAUGCAGCUAUGCCGCGUGUAUGAAGAAGGCCUUAGGGUUGUAAAGUACUUUCAUCGGGGAGGAAAAAACAAAACUAAUAAUUUUAUUUCUUGACGUUACCCGAAAAAGAAGCACCGGCUAACUCCGUGCCAGCAGCCGCGGUAAUACGGAGGGUGCUAGCGUUAAUCAGAAUUACUGGGCGUAAAGAGCACGUAGGUGGUUUUUUAAGUCAGAUGUGAAUCCCUGGGCUUAACCUAGGAACUGCAUUUGAAACUGAAAUACUAGAGUAUCGUAGAGGGAGGUAGAAUUCUAGGUGUAGCGGUGAAAUGCGUAGAUAUCUGGAGGAAUACCUGUGGCGAAAGCGGCCUCCUAAACGAAUACUGACACUGAGGUGCGAAAGCGUGGGGAGCAAACAGGGAUUAGAUACC